AAGGGUAUAGGGAAAGGAAAGAAUAAGAAUGUAUCAAAUUUGUAAUAACUAGAUUGUAAUUUGGAAGUUUAAUGUAAAAAAAACUGUGAUGUAAAAAUGUAAACUGGUGAAUGCUUGUAAUAAUUUAGUUGUUUAUGUUUGAUACUUCCUUAUGCAAUCUAUACUUGAUUUCUGUUCCUGGUUGGAAUAUCGUGAAUUGUAUUGAUUGCAACGCCUAGGACGUAUAGGAAAAACUCUGUCCGUUCGGCGGUCUGUCGGCGUGCCCGAACCUGACCAAAUAGGCAGGGCCCGGGGCAUGACAGAUAAG
This 307-nucleotide long non-coding RNA is filed under the name Ananas comosus (pineapple). RNAcentral describes it as "long non-coding RNA (ACOM_LNC022207)". Lineage: Eukaryota; Viridiplantae; Streptophyta; Magnoliopsida; Poales; Bromeliaceae. The record is from RNAcentral.